UGGACAGAUUAUUGUAUUCGACUGUAUUCACGGCGUGAAACAGGGGAUUACACUGUUUUUAAACGGAAAGUGAAUCAAUUAAAAUAAUAGACUCAU
Molecule: microRNA precursor, 96 nt
Filed under: Nicotiana attenuata
Lineage: Eukaryota; Viridiplantae; Streptophyta; Magnoliopsida; Solanales; Solanaceae
Description: MIR6152 microRNA precursor family
Rfam family: MIR6152 microRNA precursor family
Source: Rfam by way of RNAcentral